CCCAGAGCACUGACUAUCCCCAGUCACAGAGCCCAGAGCACUGACUAUCCCCAAUCACAGAGCCCAGAGCACUGACUAUCCCCAGUCACAGAGCCCAGAGCACUGACUAUCCCCAGUCACAGAGCCCAGAGCACUGACUAUCCCCAGUCACAGAGCCAAGAGCACUGACUAUCCCCAGUCACAGAGCCCAGAGCACUGACUAUCCCCAAUCACAGAGCCCAGAGCACUGACUAUCCCCAGUCACAGAGCCCAGAGCACUGACUAUCCCCAAUCACAGAGCCCAGAGCACUGACUAUCCCCAGUCACAGAGCCCAGAGCACUGACUAUCCCCAAUCACAGAGCCCAGAGCACUGACUAUCCCCAGUCACAGAGCCCAGAGCACUGACUAUCCCCAGUCACAGAGCCCAGAGCACUGACUAUCUCCAGUCACAGAGCCCAGAGCACUGACUAUCCCCAAUCACAGAGCCCAGAGCACUGACUAUCCCCAGUCACAGAGCCCAGAGCACUGACUAUCCCCAAUCACAGAGCCCAGAGCACUGACUAUCCCCAGUCACAGAGCCCAGAGCACUGACUAUCCCCAGUCACAGAGCCCAGAGCACUGACUAUCCCCAAUCACAGAGCCCAGAGCACUGACUAUCCCCAGUCACAGAGCCCAGAGCACUGACUAUCCCCAGUCACAGAGCCCAGAGCACUGACUAUCCCCAAUCACACAAAAUAUACAGAACCAGAUCACAUACUGAGCUCCAGAAGAAUGAAGGGAUUCCUAAGAGUUGAAGAGUUCUGAGCAAUUUGCUAAGUGAGGCAGGAAUCAAUAAUUCAAAGCUGUACCGGUCCGGAAACUCAGAAUCAGGCCUCUAUUCCCCAGGGCAAGUGUCAUGGGAAAAAUAAUAUCUAGGACAAAGAUGCACAGAAACCAGUAAAGUGUAGCCAAGGUAUUUGUUACAGGGCAAGUUAUACCUUUGAAUGCAUUUCUUAGAAGCCAGGAAGGUAAAGACAGGAGGGUUGCAGAGGGUUCCAGGCCAGCCUGUGCUACAUGGUCAGACUUUGUUUCAAAAAAGCUUAACAAAAAAAAAAAAAAAAAAAAAAGGACAAGGUAGAACUACCACAUAAAUGGUACACUUGUUAAGUGUCAAUUUUAAAAGGAGUGAAAAGCAUAGUGAAUUGAAGACAGAAAACAGGAUAACUAAAGGCAUUGUCAGCUGUGGGGGAGGAACAAUAACUGGGAUUAACAGUUGUUUUUUUUAAAGAAGGGUUUUUGACUUGGUUCAGUGGGUGUUUGGCUUAUUUUCCAUUGCUAUGCUAAAACACUGUGACCAGAAGCAGCUUGUGGAGGUGUGGCAGCUUGAGAGAAAAUGGCCCCCAAAGGGAGUGGCGCUAAUGAGAGCACCAUGUCUGCCUGCAGGCUGCCGUGUCCCACCAUGAUGAUAGCGGACUGAACCUCUGAACUGAUGCUCUGAGCUGCAGUGAUGGGGAUGUCAUGGUGAUGAAGAAGAGGAAGAAGGAGAAGGGGAGAGGAAGGAGAAGGAGAAGGAGAAGAAGAAGAAGAAGAAGAAGAAGAAGAAGAAGAAGAAGAAGAAGAAGAAGAAGAAGAAGAAGAAGAAGAAGAAGAAGAAAUAAUUAGCUAAACUGUUUUAAAAAUAGUCUGUUACCUCUCUAGCAACAAGAGGCACCAAAGUAAUGUAACUCAAGGACUUGUGUUAAAGUCAUCAAAGCCAAGUUUCUUUCUGUCCUCAGUGCAUUAUCUUAGUCUGUACACCAGUUCUCCUCUGAGACACAAGAUGGCUACAGAAGGUCCAGAUCUCACAUCAUUACCGCUAUGGUCGAUACCAGAAAAGGGCUCUUUUUUUUUUUUUUCAUUCUGCUUUCCUAUUUUUGUCAUAGAAUCAAAAAAUAAAGAAAAGAAAAUCCUCUUUCCUUAAAAUCUGUCCCCUGAGCCCUUCCCUUGCAUGUCUUCCGCUUCCAUGGAUCUGACAUUCACAUCUAACCCUGUCACUGGCUAGAAAAGGGGCCACCAUUUCCACAGAAGCUGAAUCUGGGUCCUCUCCAAAACUGGGUAGACCAGUCUCCCCUGAAAUGUGUGACUGAGUAAUGAAAGACGGAGGUUAUCAAAAUAACUUCAAGAGAGGCAGUUGACCAUGGUAGGGUCAACAUUUUGUGAAAAUCGAAAACAGUGGAUUCAUUCUUUGGGGAAAAAUUGUGAAAUACCAAAGUAAGUACAAGGCAAAUAAAAUGGAUUAACACAUUCUUUGCUUC
Molecule: long non-coding RNA, 2253 nt
Filed under: Cricetulus griseus (Chinese hamster)
Lineage: Eukaryota; Metazoa; Chordata; Mammalia; Rodentia; Cricetidae
Description: lncRNA (ENSCGRG00015041585.1)
Source: RNAcentral